GCCUAGUCCAGCUUGGCACCUCGGCCGGACCCGACCUCCUGGGGGCAGCAGGUGAGUUUGCGGCCAGGACACCGGGCAUCCGCGGACCCUCAGUUCCUUGCCCUUCCGGCUCUCAGAUCACCCAGUUCCUGGCCCUGUAAUCCUCGAUUCUGCAGCCCUAGGCCCCUGGUCCCCCAAUACCGUGACUGUCCGACGCCCCCGGUCUUCAGCCCUGACUUACUCCCCGGUGCCUCCCGCGUACCUCCCAUUUCCCAGCUUCCUGGCCCCGGGUUCUCCAGUCCUUCGACCCGUGACGUUUUUGUUCCUCGGACCCCAAACUCCAGGAUCCCAGUGUGCGGCCGUCCAGACCCCCCCUCCCCUGCCUCCCGGCCUGUGAGCUUUACCGCCCUUCAGCCUAGCGGUUGCAGGGACCUACGUGGCCCCUCAGCGCUCUGGUCCCGAGCAGUCUUGGACGCAGACUGGUUCUGCACUGCCCACUUUGUCGGGAAAGGGCCUCAGCCCUUCACUUCGAAAGAAGAUUCUGUCCAGAGGUGCCGGUAAGCCAGGUUUUCUAACCUCAGUUUGUUUGAUUUUUCCCUUCUUGGUCUCUGAAGUGAGUCCUCUGCGGAAGGAGGAAAAACAAAACAUCUCAACAACAGACCCCCACAGGAUCAAGCUUCUAAACUUUUUCUCAAUUGUACCUGGCAAUAGAAUAUACUGUAUUUGCACUCUUAAGGCACCCACAAGUCAGAAGUAAUAUACACUGUUCCAUAGCUGUGCAAUGUUUAGAGCAUUGAAGCCCUAACUAUAGUUCUGGACGAGGUGAUGAUCUGAUAUCGUCUGUUCUUCAGAGUGAAGAAGCAUAACUUAGACAUGGGUUCUUUGUGUUCUCUGAACGGUUUUUGGUCACCCAUACUGUGUAGCCUUAGGGCCAAGCUAUGUCCCUAGAUGUCCCCUUUGACCUCAGAUGUACAUCACGUCCCAUUUAAGAAGCAAAUGUUCUCUAGUGUGACAUGUAGCUCACUAAAGUUUGAAAUCCUUAUUUGCUUCAUUAUCUACUAGGUAUGUCUGCCUGAAGGAAGAGUAUUUUGUUGUUUUUUUUUUCAUUUCAGCUAUUAAGAAUUCUUAAGGGUGGGUGAUAUGGAUACCAGGUAGGGGUGCUUGCCACAAAGCCUGACUACCUGAGUUUGAUCCUGGUACUCACUUGGAGGAAGGAGAUACUCAGCUCCCACCUUCUAGGCUUCUAGGCAUGCACUUGUGAGCCCACCCAAGAAAGAAAUCUUAAAAAAAAAAAAAAAAGGAUUCUUGAGGCCUUCUUUAGGCUGGUUAAACUGAGAGAUACUUAUUUUCAUGUUAUUAAGCAACAUUUAAGAUGAUUAAUUUGAGCAGGGAAGUAAGUGGUGGAGCAUGCCUUUGUUCCCCGCACUUGGGAGGCAGAGGCAGGCAGAUUUCUGAGUUCGAGGCUAGCCUGGUCUACAGAGUGAGUUCCAGGACAGCCAGGGCUACACAGAAAAACCCUGUCUUGAAAAAACAAAAAACCCCAGACCAAACCCUAACUUCUCUCCAAUAUCCAAAGUUUACCACACAGGAAGAGUUUCUUAAAUCCAAACCAAGUCAGGCAUGGUGGCACCACCUUUGAUCCCAGCACUUGGGAGGCAGAGGCAGGCAGAUCUCUGUGAGUUUUGGGCCAGCCUGGUCUGCACAGUGAGCUAUGUGUAGAGACCCUGUCUCAGGCCCGUAGCUGAGAAUGUCCUUCUGCUUGGUUUUACUCAGAGAUCCAGAGUUGCCUUAGGAGAUGCUGGCUUCUUGCCUGUGUUUGCCUCCAUUUGUGGUUGUAAGCCUCUGAGGGCAGCCACAGAGCUUUGGACACUGGGAUCCAGUACAGAAACGUGCUGUGGUCUUGGUGACGUUCACGUAGCAGCUAGAAAAGAAUGCAGAGAGCUUUGGAACUCAGCUCUAGCUGUGUCUCCCCAAAUGCUCUUGAGCUGUCUGGGGCAGUUGUGUGCGUGAGUGAAUGCCUGGGCUUCUAACUUAUGCCUGAGUGAGUCAUGCCAGUAACGGAGUCCUACAUGCAAAAAUCUGCAUUUGUGUGCUCACAGUCGUAGGAUGCCAUUCUAACAUGUGAUUAAUGCAGUAAAAGGAAGGUAGAAUGAGCUGGGUGUGGUGCUGCAUGCCUUUUCCUUUAAUCCGAGCACUCAGGAGGCGAGGCCAGCCUGGUCUACAAAGUGAGUUCCAGGACUGCCAGGGCUAUACAGAGAAACCCUGUCUGGGGG
Molecule: long non-coding RNA, 2252 nt
Filed under: Mus musculus (house mouse)
Lineage: Eukaryota; Metazoa; Chordata; Mammalia; Rodentia; Muridae
Description: long non-coding RNA chr2:180967278-180969530
Source: RNAcentral